GACGAACGCUGGCGGCGCGCUUAACACAUGCAAGUCGAACGGAAAGGCCUGCCUUCCCUUGUGGAUUGCGGGUACUCGAGUGGCGAACGGGUGAGUAACACGUGAGUGAUCUGCCCCCAACUUGGGUAUAAGCCUGGGAAACUGGGUCUAAUUCCCGAUAGGACUGCAGGGUGGUGCCUGUGGUGGAAAACGAUUUUCUAGUGGUUGGGGAUGAGCUCGCGGCCUAUCAGCUUGUUGGUGGGGUAAUGGCCUACCAAGGCGGCGACGGGUAGCCGGCCUGAGAGGGUGGACGGACACAUUGGGACUGAGAUACGGCCCAGACUCCUACGGGAGGCAGCAGUGGGGAAUAUUGCACAAUGGGCGGAAGCCUGAUGCAGCGACGCCGCGUGGGGGAUGACGGCCUUCGGGUUGUAAACUCCUUUCGACCGCGAGGAAGCCACCUGGUUGGAAGGGUGGUGACGGUAGUGGUAGAAGAAGCACCGGCUAACUACGU
This 493-nucleotide ribosomal RNA is filed under the name uncultured bacterium. RNAcentral describes it as "partial 16S ribosomal RNA". It matches the Rfam family "Bacterial small subunit ribosomal RNA", at positions 28 to 506 of the family's 1533-position model. The record is from RNAcentral.